UAUGAAGCUGGAAUCGCUAGUAAUCGCAGAUCAGAAUGCUGCGGUGAAUACGUUCCCGGGUCUUGUACACACCGCCCGUCACACCAUGGGAGCCAGGAAUGCCCGAAGCCAGUGGCCUAACCGCAAGGGAGGAGCUGUCGAAGGCAGGCCCGGUAACUGGGGUGAAGUCGUAACAAGGUAUC
Molecule: ribosomal RNA, 182 nt
Filed under: uncultured bacterium
Lineage: Bacteria
Description: partial 16S ribosomal RNA
Rfam family: Bacterial small subunit ribosomal RNA
Source: RNAcentral